Molecule: non-coding RNA, 2878 nt
Organism: Rattus norvegicus (Norway rat)
Lineage: Eukaryota; Metazoa; Chordata; Mammalia; Rodentia; Muridae
Source: RefSeq, a predicted model, not a curated record
GGGGCCGCUGCUGGUGAGUGUGGGUGAUGAACUGUGAAUGGUGUGUGUUUGUGAGGCCCUAAAUCCCGCGGGCCGCUCCCUGCCGCUGGUACCCCGACAUCAUCCCUAGAGGAGCGACGUGGCUGCCUGGAAGAGAAAAUGUUUUAUGACUUCUAUUGAGGUUGGACACCGAGGAUUCAAACUUCAAAGCUCAUUGAAGGAAUUGGAAAUCAGAAAUGCUGACAGGAGACCAAGGUGGGCACUGCUACUCCAAACUCUCUACAUGCCUUUAGAACAUCGCAACCCUUGAAACUUUUGGCAAGAAAGCAAAGAGUUUAUGUGUGUCUGCAAGUAUAAAUGUACAUUGAGAGUGUAUUGCAGAAGCUCCCUUUUACAGUAUAGAAUAACUAGUGCAGAGGCAGCUGGUCAGCUGGCAGAGCAUAAAGGACUGGAGUGCUCAGCGAUAAAAAGGCCAGCUAUAUCAUACCACUCUUCUCAUGACUCAGGGACAAUCACAGAAGAUAGAGUAGAAAGACUAUAAGAGCCAGAGGUAACAGCCAUCUAAAGCAACAGAGUAUUGUCUGGACAGGACAAGACUAUUGCACACACAAACUCACAAUAGCUUUGAGUGCACGCACAAGACCUGCACAGACAAAAUGCUAGGAUAUAUUUGGGAGGGGCUCAAAACGUGGAAGCCUUCUCUGAAAAACUGCUAGCAAUUGAUAGCUUCCUGGGUAGAGAUUCAGUUUUCCUCAGGGAUUAGAUGCCUAGGAGACUAUUCAUGCUCCAAUAGAUGGCCCUACCCAAGUACAUACGGACCAGCAUUGAGUGGAUGUAGUGGGUUAACGAAAAAUAAAAGAUCAUAAGAGAGAUUGUGAAGGAAUCGAAGGGUUGGGAAAGGUGAGUGGAUUUGAUUGAGAUAUAAUACAGGCAUGUGUGGGAUACCCAAACAAGUUAUCAACAUUCAUCAAAAGAAAUAUAUAAAUUUCAAAACAAGGUAGAUGUAAUAAAUAUCUAUGUUAUAUGUCUGAAAAAAUAAAAUUAGUGAGAGGUUUUAAUAUCAUUUCUACAAACUUCAGUUUCCCAUUUGGAAUAAUAAACCAGAAUUACUUUAUUAAAGGUAGCAUUGCAUCAUAUGCAAAUGUAAAAUAAACGUUUAUUCAAAUGAGGGUAUGUGUCCUGUUGAAACUGUUUAUCGAACACAAUGAAGACUGUGGACUUGUGUUUGAUUUCCAGGAUCAAGUGGUAAAAAUGAGAGAAGCACCUCCCCCCAUGUGCAUAUCAUGACACAUCCUCUACCCCAAAAUAAGUAAGAGAAAUGUUUCUUUAUAAUAAAUGCCCACAAAAAUCCCAGGUGAGAAUGCAAGUCGGGAACUGAAGGAUACAACUUUGUUUACAAAGUGAAAGAAUCUUCUAUAUAAGUUCCUUAAUAAUUCCCAAAUAUGUUCUGAGUAUAAAUCUGUUUUCUCAUAUUCACCAAGUUAGAAAAACCAAAACAGAGAAAUGAAAAGAAAACUGGAGCAAACACCCAUUUGGCAAUUCUCAAGUCAAAAUUGUAGCUUGAUCAAACUCUAUUUUCCUUGAAAGCUGUAUUUAGAUGGAUGGUUAGACUCCCAGAUUCUUGAAAGAAAAACAGCUGUAAAGUGGGAGCAACUAGUCUUACAAAGAAAUAGUCUGAGCUACUACUCUCUCACACUAAUGUAUCUGGGUCACAUUUCAUUAGCGCUAAAUGUCUGUGUUCCACCAGCUAGAUUAAGCUGUAUACAUUGCUUCUUUCAAAGAGAGUCUGUAAAUGUUCGUAAAGUAGUUUUACACUAGAAUAUAUCAACCAUUCAGUGUAUAUUGAUGGUUUCUGAUAUUUUUAAAGCCAACUAUUCACACAAUUGUAAACAUAUAGAAUAGAUGGUAAGAAAUGCAUUGCUAACUUUCUGUGAAAUUGUCAAUAGAUUGCUUUUCAGUUUAUUCAACUAUUCUGAAAACACAAAUCGAACUUCAAUAACUCAACCCAAAAACUCCUAGAAAAGUGCACUAUGAAUUUUGUUCAGUCUUUGCCCAAGUAUAUGUCUGUCAUUACUAAUGAAAUCAUGAACUUACAGGAAUUUCAUUUGUAGAACUGUUUAUUUUAUAUUUAAGAAACCUUUUAUAUAUUAAUACAUGUAAUCUUCAAAAUUAAGAGUUAAGCUUUUAUUAUUCCAACUUUAUGAUAAGAAAACUCUGAGGUUGCAUUCAUAACUACCAUGGAAAUGACAUACUUAUAUAUUGAAAGGAAAAACCCACAAUCAGUCUAUGAAUAUUUCAACAUCAAUCAGAGAAAUGAAACAGAAAACAGUGAUCAAUUAUUUCUAAAAAAAAAGUGAAAUAAUCUAUAGUAAGUUAAUUAUGGAUAUCAAAUGAUGUCCUGUACAGAUCAUUAUCCUUAGAGACACAUUGUAUUUGCCAGAGUGAUUUGCUCAUAGUUGUCUUAAAUAAUUGCUGGCAUUUGUGGAUUUAAGUUCUUUGGUAUACAGAUCAGAAGACUCGAUGCCAAUAUUAAAGGUGAUAUGACCUUGGUUGUCUCAGUAGAUAUUAGCAUAUCUAAUGUAUGCUUUUGAUUCCCAAAAGUGCUUUCUGAAAACAUACUGGCCAUCACUGUUUAGACAUCUAUUUUUCCUCAAAUUGUUUCACUUCUAUGUGCUGCCUUCUAUGUGCCACCUAACUUAUGCCUCCCCCAAUCCACAUCCUGAAAAUUCUUGCUCUCUUAACACCCUGUAAUUACCUUAGAGGCACAUUGGUUGAUGAUGAGAAAUGGUUGAUUACUGUUGCUGUCAGUUGAAUCACAGCUCAUUACCAAUUCCAACCCCUUCACAAUUUCACCAUUGGCUGUAGCCCUUCAGUACCAAUAAAUCGUAGCCUGCUACCU